UAGAACUGUAGAUCUAUUCCAGGGAUGAUAACUGUCCAUCCAUCCAUUUUCCAUACCGCUUAUCCUACACAGGGUCACAGGGGAACCUGGAGUCAGCCCACAAUCACGCCCUACAGACAAUUUGGAAGAAGUGAUAAUCAGCCUACAAAGCAUGCCUUUGGACUGGGAGAGGAAACCAAAGUACCCGGAGGAAACCCCUGAAGCACAGGGAGAACAUGCAAGCUCUACUCACACAGGGCGGAGGUGGGAUUCGAACCCCCAGACAUGCUAACCACUAAGCCACCAUGUUCCCCUAGGCUACAGUGGGAUACGACGGCCUACUUUCUUCACAGAUCUUACAUAACAGCCUGACGAUCCAUCCGUCUCUGCACGCAUCUCUGCUUACCUGUCGGACAUCUCGGUCUGGAUGAGGGAACACCACCUUAAGCUCAAUCCGGCAAAAUCUGAGCUUCUCGUCAUCCCAGCCUGCCCCUCAAUCAACCACAACCUCACUGUACAGCUCGGCUCAACCACACUCAAGCCAACCAGGAAGGCCAGGGACCUUGGGGUGAUUCUUGAUGACAGCUUGACCUUUACAGACCACAUCUCAACAACUGCACGGUCCUGUAGGUUCAUUCGGUACAACAUCAAGGAAAUCAGACCUUGUCUCACCGAACAGGCCACACAGCUACUAGUUCAGGCUCUUGUCAUAUCAAAACUGGACUACUGCAGCGCACUACUCUCGGGCGUCCCAGCCAGCUCCAUCAAACCCCUUCAGAUGAUUCAG
Molecule: long non-coding RNA, 766 nt
Organism: Ictalurus punctatus (channel catfish)
Lineage: Eukaryota; Metazoa; Chordata; Actinopteri; Siluriformes; Ictaluridae
Source: Ensembl